RNAcentral lists this ribosomal RNA (467 nucleotides) under uncultured microorganism. Its description in RNAcentral is "bacterial SSU rRNA". It matches the Rfam family "Bacterial small subunit ribosomal RNA", at positions 9 to 524 of the family's 1533-position model. The record is from RNAcentral.
GAGUUUGAUCAUGGCUCGGAGCGAACGCUGGCGGCAGGCCUAACACAUGCAAGUCGAACGAACUCUUCGGAGUUAGUGGCGGACGGGUGAGUAACACGUGGGAACGUGCCUUUUGGUUCGGAAUAACUCAGGGAAACUUGUGCUAAUACCGAAUGUGCCCUUCGGGGAAGAUUUAUCGCCAUUAGAGCGGCCCGCGUCUGAUUAGCUAGUUGGUGAGGUAAAGGCUCACCAAGGCGACGAUCAGUAGCUGGUCUGAGAGGAUGAUCAGCCACAUUGGGACUGAGACACGGCCCAAACUCCUACGGGAGGCAGCAGUGGGGAAUCUUGCGCAAUGGGCGAAAGCCUGACGCAGCCAUGCCGCGCGAAUGAUGAAGGUCUUAGGAUUGUAAAAUUCUUUCACCGGGGACGAUAAUGACGGUACCCGGAGAAGAAGCCCCGGCUAACUUCGUGCCAGCCGCCGCGGUAAC